AAGGCAGGAAGCAUUGGCUCUUCCUUUAUAAUAGGAUGUUGGUUCAUGGGAACAAGUACCACAGUAAGUCCUGACCAAAAUGCAGGGAGAACUGAUUCUUUUUAUUAGAUUAUUGUAACAAACCAGGUCCUACUACCAUAGAAGUUUCAGUAACUGUUAAGUAAAACACUCAGUUUUUGUAGAAGUCUUAAGUUCAUCUAAUCUAAUGAAUGGAUUGUUAAUCAAACUUUUGAAGAGGUACCGUUUCAACCUUAAACUUUUAAUGAUUAUUUUAUUAAUUCAUUAACUUCAAAAAUCCAUAUUACCUUUCAAAUAGUUUUAUAAUUAACGCAGGCAAAUGCCCAAGAAAAUACACUAAUCUUAUUCAACAUCUUCAAAUCUUCAAAUGUUGUCCUGAGAUCUAAGAGUAGGACAUUCAAACCAUAGAUCCUAAAAUUAUCAGAUCAGUUCUUUGAUGCUGGAACAUGUUGACCUUAAGAGACAUUGUAGUGAAUUGAGAGUAGGGGGAGAAAAUGUUUGGUGAAAUAUCAAGACUAGACACAUAGGAGCAAAUUACAGAAAGGAAGAAGUAUUAAGGAUGAGGAAGAGCUGAGCCCCAGCCUAUCUUAGGAUGUCAACCAAGAAGAGCUUUGGAACAUGACCUCAUUGCAUCCUGGAGUUGUUAGAGCAACUGGGCAAAGGAUGGUGAGCCCCAGGCAUGAACUCUCACCGACACUCUACCCACACUUCCCGUGAACACCCUGCCUCCACUCGGCUCCGCGCACCAAUCCUCUCAGAACCCCGCGAGAACUCAACGGGAACUCCAAAGGAGCGGGUGCCUGAGGCAGCAGGAUACAACCUAUACCCAGCAGGAUCCACCCUAAACCUGGAGCCGCCCUAUUCCCAGCAGGAUCCACCCUAAACCUGGAGCCACCCUAAUCCCUGAGCAGGUUCACCUUUCAACCCAAAAUGCCAUGCAUCAUUCCUACUUGGCUAUGGCUCUCAGCACGAGGUGCUAAGGAUUAAACCCAGGACUCAUGCAUGCCAGGCAAACAUACUACCACUGAUCCAUAUCCCCAGCCCUAGAAAUGCUAAUUUAAUGGAGAUCUGAAGGAUGAGCAUGCAUUAAGCAAAUGGAGAGAAGGAAACAUUUCAGACAGAAGGGACAACAUAUGCCAAGGCUUUGUGAUGGGAAACUCCACAGUGUAUUCAAGGAAUUAAAAGAAAGUCCAUACAUUGGAAUGAAGAGAGGAAGAAACAAAUCAUUAAGGGACAAGGCUGGGAAGGGAAACAGUCUCAUAUCUUCUGAGAGAAACAGAUCAUCAUGUCACGAACCCCUCUAACUCUCCAAUAAAAACAACAUGAAAUCAACCAAGAUAGAGAAUGUGUCCUUAAUGCCCCACUUGGGACCUCUCUCCAGAGGAACAUUGAUAGAGGCAAGCCUAUUUCAGGUGUAGAUGGACACAACACAAUGCUUUUUUAUGUGGUGCUGAGGAUUGAACCCGGGUCCCGCCCCUGCUAGUCACACCAUUCUUCUCUACCCUUUGGCCGACUUGAACAAUUGCCUGAAUGGACAGCCAUUUGAAAUUUCCUGCCAAUGGAAGGCCACUGCCCUUAUCUCCACUUCUGAAAAACACUGAACUGAGAAUUGGAAUGAACCAAGGAGAAGAGAUGAGUGUGUCCAUGAACAAACGGGAAGGAUAGACAGGGUGAUCAUUGGGUGAUCAUAUCUGAGGCAUAUAUGAGGCAACAUAUGAGUUUGGUUCAAUUUGUCAGUGUUUCGUAGGUUCUUUAUAGUAGUCACCUACAAAAAUGAGGACUCUACAGAUCAUCAUCACUUGAAAGUCCUGGUUUUUGUUUUUCAUUUUGUUUUAAUUGAGGGAAAAGGAACUUAAAUUAGGUUUUAGCAAUAUUUUGCCAGUAGUAAAUCUCCAUAAUGUUUUAUAAAAUCAUAUUUUAAAUCCAGCAGAUGUCAGCUAUGAUAUGGAGGUUUUGUCAGAAAGAAAAUCUUUGGCCAUAGAACAGCCUCUAGAAUAGACCUCCUAAAGGUUUUGUAAAUGGAGAUGCAUAAUGCUGAAAGCACUUAAAGUGGCCCCAGAGUGAGGUGUUUCUGCCAUGGAAACCAUCCACUCAGCAACUUGACCAUUAGAAAAUGUUUCCACUGCAUAGAGAGAAUCAUUUGCCAAGCCAAAGACACCAAUGCUGAGUUAUAAAUGUCUACAGUUAUACAAAAACCACUUUAUAAAAUAGCAGCUGGAAUUUGUUCCCACUAACACUGAAUAUCAAAAGACAACACUAACAGUCCAUUUCCAGAAAUCAUAAUCAUUUCCUCAGUUAAAAACACCUAUUCAGAGUCUUCACUUGCUAAUGGGCAAUUUCACCUGGCUUCACUUUUAUGAAACUCCUUGAUGGUCCAAUGGUACAUACAACCUGCCAAUCCCUGUGGAUCGGCCAGUUCUAUUAUUAGAUUUGUUUAGAAGACUAAGCAGUCCAGAUAGGGGCAGGAAUUUAUUCUAAACUGUCUUUCAAUGUAUAUUUUAGUCAAAAAAUUGCUUUCUCUGGGGAAUAAAGUGGAUUGGAAAAUAAGACAGUUUUAAACUGCUUAGGUGAAUACAUUUUUUUCCUAAGGGUGAGCUAUUACUCUGUCUUCUGUGGUGAGAUUGUGAGGUGCACCAGCUGAGAAAAUAUACUGGUAACUGACUUGUUUGAGGACAUUAUUUUGCCUGGGCUGCUGCCACCGCAAAGUAACACAAACUUGGUGGUUUACAGAACAGAAAUUUACUGCCUCUCAGUUCUGGGGGGUAUAAGUCUAAGAUUAAGAAGUCAGCAGAGUUGGGUUUCUGUUGGGUUCUUCUGAGAGCUAUUAAGAAGAAUCUAUUCCAUGCUUGUCUGUUAGCUGCUGGUGGUUUGCUGGCCACCUUGGGGAUUCCUUGGCUGCUACUGCACCCCAGUCUUUGCCUUCAUCUUCACUGGUGGCCUCCUGGGUGUACCUGUGUCUAAAUCUACCAUUUUUAUAAGGAUACCAGUAAUACUGAAUUAGAAGCCCAUCCUGCUCCAGCAUAACUUAAUCUUAACUAAUUACAUCUGCCACAUUGCUAUUUCUUAAUUAGCCCACAUCUGAGCUACAUCAGAAUAGUACAUCAACAUGUGAAUUUUGUGAGGACACAAGCCAGCUUGUACUAGGACCAAAUCCAUGUUUGCUAUCAAUUGGACUAAAUCCAGACUAUAAGAAAAAAAGUUGUAGUUUAUGUUUCGCUCUUAUUUUUCCUUUUUAUACAAUGCAUAUGCCAUUCUAUCCUUGAAAGGAAGGAUACCUACUUACAAAUGACAGCUAUGGAAACUUUGUUCAACUUUAGACAUUGUAAUGAGAUUUUAAUACAGACUAAUUUCCAAGAGUCAGAAAUGAAUCAAGAAAUAUUGAUAGACUUUAUUUUAAGAGUUAAAAUAGAAGAAUGAGAGCAUUUAUGGUAGGUUAACAUUUCUUAAAAUAGAAAUACCUUGGUUCAGGAGAGGUGUUUAUGAUACAACAGCUGAAGAGAUCUUCUCCCCAAUUACCUUAUAACCCUUGCUAUUGUUGUUUUCCUCCUUGAAUUGCUUUGAUUCCUCUGCCCAUUUGUGUUUCUCCUCCUGCCUUAUUCUUACUUUCUGUGAUCCUCAGAGAUCAUACUUCUCAUUUCAACCACUAUCAACUUUUCUCCAACUUACACUCUAAACCAGUUCACUUUUCAUGCUCUCUCCAGGGCAGUUGAUUCUAAGUUGUUAUCUCUAGCCUUGAUUUCUCUACCUAGGUACAAACUCAUUUUUUUUCAUUGUUUGUCCGUGAAACUAAAACUGAAUGUCUAUCAUCCUCCUUGUGCCAUCUUCUCUCUAUCUCACUGUUUCUGUUAAUUUAUUCUUGUGCUCUCUUAGGCUUGGAACCUGAGGUCAUCACGUGUCUUUUCCCUGGUUCUCUUAAUCUAGUCUUUCUAGAAAUCCCAUUAUCUCUAUUUCUGAUAAGUAAAUUGUAUUUCUCUGAUUUCUCCUCAUCUCAGGCUUCAUUAGUUUUCACCUGGAUGGCUUCAAUCAUUCCCUGUUACCCUAGCUUCUCUCUGCUCCAUUCCAAAGUAUAUCCUGUUUUCAUCCAUUUUAACUUUCUAAAUGUUCUACUGAAAAAUCAUUGGUUCCCUCAUUCUCUAUAAAGGUAAGCUAAGACAUAUAUAUUAAACUGGUGUUUGGGAGCUCUGUAUUAUGGUGCUCUCUAGCUUUCCUUUUCUCUGCCCAUGCUCUACAGGUAUCCUUUCUUUGACCAAAGUAGAAUGCUUUAUUUUUUUCCUGUUUCUUGCUUUUCUUUUUACUUUCUGUGAUCUUGAGAGAUCAUACUUCUCUUUUCAACCACUAUCGGCUUUUCUCCAACUUACACUCCAAACCAGUUCAUUUUUCAUUCUCUCUCCAAGGCAGUUGAUUCUAAGUUGUUAUCUUUAGCCUUGAUUUCUCUACUGAGAUACAAACUCAUUUUUUAAAAAUUGUUUGUCCCUGAAACUUUUCCUAAGAGUUUAUGACAGAAAUGAUUUUUUUCAAACUGUGCUUUCUUUAAGGGUGAAGACUUAUUUAUCCCAUACUCUCCAUGAAGUCACUUUCUGACAACAGGAUCUGUGCUGUUUAGCCUUUUACUUGCUCCUUUUUAUUUCACUUAACACAAGCCUUAAUAGGAUGAUGGUUCAUAGGGUCUGCUCAACAAAUGUCCCCACUGGCUUUCCUAGCAAGGUUGUUUUAGAUUUAUUGGCAUGCUUGUCUUGGCUACCACAUUUCACACUCCUAAAAAAUGAAAAUUCUACUUUAUUCGUCACUGUAGACUCUGCCAAGGGUUUGUUCUUGGCCUGGAUUAGUCAAUGAAACAAAUAUUAUUAAUUUAAAAAUUUUAUUGGCAAACCAAUUUAACAUACCAAGAAAUUAUGCUAUCUAUCCUGCUGUGAUAUAUGAGAUUGUGAUGUGCACCAGCUGAGGAAACACAUUGGAACCACAAGCUUCUCAGAUAAUUUAUGAGUAGUAGGUUGGAAAUAUUAGUUGAUAUUAAAUACCUAUGUUGUUAACUUAACAUGGAUCACUCUAUUACAUAACCUUAACCUUGAAAUAUCAUAACAACUCUUAUAAAAGUUGCAUGGGCUGGAUAUUUGGAAAGGGAUGGGAAAUAGCAGAAGGAAAUGUCACACACCCAUGAGCUCUGUCGAAACUGAAGAGGAAUAAAUAGUCCCAAAUCUUAAUCUCAAGAAUGUCCUCAUAGACAAGAUUUAUAUACACAGUUGUUUCUAAUGCUCUUUAACACAAGAUUUUUUACAAGAGACAAAGGCUUCGUUUUGCCUCCUAAUUACUUAAAUUGUAUAGUCAAUAGUUGGUCCUCUUAGAUUUCCUCAUAAGAUAAUAUCUUGGAGGUUGAGCUCACCCACGGAGGAAUGGAAGACUGUUUUCUCUAACAUAUUAACAUAUCUUGGAUCUUCUCUCCACUUGUGUGAGAUGUGUAUUCAGUGAUAAUCACACUUCACUUUCGUUGUUUCGUUUGUUUGUUUGUUUUGGUACUGAGAAUGGAACCCAGGGAUACUCUAUGACUAGGCUAUAAAGCCCCAUCCCUCUUUUUUUUUGGGGGGGGGGAGGGGGCACAGGGUCUCCCUAAGUUCUUGAGGGCUUUGCUAAGUUGCUGAGGCUGGACUCAAAUUUGUAAUUCUCCUGCCUCAGACUCCUGAGUUGCUAGGUUACAGUUGUGCACACAACUCAUGCUGCAAUUUCAAUAAAUGCAAACAACUUGAAACUUUAACAGUGUUUUCAGAAUAUCCUACUUGAAACAAGUACAGUUUUAAAAUAUUUUUAUUUGUUUGUUUGUUGUCUUUUGCCUUGCAACUGCUAGAAGAGAACAUAGGGUCAACACUCCAUCACAUAGGUAUAGGUACAAACUUCCUCAACAAGACCUCUAAAGUUCAAGAAAUAAAACCAAGAAUCAAUAAGUGGGAUGCCAUCAAGUUAAAAAAAAAACUUUUGCACAUCAAAGGAAACUAUUAAAAGCAUGAAGAAAGAGCCUACAGAAUGGGAAAAAAUCUUUGCCAGUUGCUUUUCUGUUAAGAGAUUAAUAUCCAGAAUAUAUAAAGAACUCAAAAAAACUCAAUGCCAGAAAAAAUAACCAAUCAAUAAAUUGGCAAAAGAACUAAAUAGACAUUUCUUGAAAGAAGAAACACAAAUGGCUCACAAAUACAUGAAAAAAUGUUCAAUAUCUCUAGCAAUCAGAGAAAUGCAAACCAAAACUACACUCAGAUUUCACCUCUCUCUAGUCAGAAUGGCAAUGAUCAAGAACACAAUAAUAAAUACUGGCAAGGAUGUUAGGGGACAGGCACACUGGUACAUUGUUGGUGGGACUGCAAAUUAAUACAACCACUCUAGAAAGCAGUAUGGAGAUUCCUCAAGAAACUAGGAAUGGAACCAGCUAUCCUACUCUGGUAUUUAUCCAAAAGAAUUAAAAUCAACAUACUGUAGUAAUACAGCUGCUAUAAUGUUUAUAUCAACACAAUUCACAAUAGCCAAAUUAUGUAAUCAUCAGAGGUGUCCACCAAUAGAUGAACGAAUCAAGAAGAUGAGAUACACACACACACACACUCACAGCGGAGUUUUACUCAGCCAUAAAGAAUGAAAUAAUGACAUUUGCUGUUAAAUGGAUGGAAAUGAAGAACAUCAUACUAAGUGAAAUAAACCAGACUCAGAAAAUCAAGGGUCAAAUGUUUUCUUUUCAUAUGUGGAAGCUAAAGCAAAAUAAGGAAAAUGAAAUUUCAUCUUAUGUGUAUACAGAAAGUACCAACCAAAAUAAAUAAAUAAAUAAAAGAAUGCUAGGGAGAUCAAUAG
Long non-coding RNA from Marmota monax (woodchuck), 6840 nucleotides. RefSeq lists it as uncharacterized. NCBI's taxonomy places the organism in Eukaryota, Metazoa, Chordata, Mammalia, Rodentia, Sciuridae. The transcript has 6 exons. The record is from RefSeq and is a predicted model, not a curated record.